CGGGGCUAAUACCGGAUGCUUGAUUGAACCGCAUGGUUCAUUCGUAACAGGCGGCUUCGGCUGCCGUUCCUCCAAGAAGCCGCGGCGCAUUAGCUAGUUGGUGAGGUAACGGCUCACCAAGGCGACGAUGCGUAGCCGACCUGAGAGGGUGAUCGGCCACACUGGGACUGAGACACGGCCCAGACUCCUACGGGAGGCAGCAGUAGGGAAUCUUCCGCAAUGGACGAGAGUCUGACUGAUCAACGCCGCGUGAGUGAUGAGGGUUUUCGGAUCGUAAAGCUCUGUUGUUAGGGAAGAACAAGCACCGUUCGAAUAGGGCGGUACCUU
RNAcentral lists this ribosomal RNA (327 nucleotides) under Bacillus sp. CSu5_28. RNAcentral describes it as "bacterial SSU rRNA". It matches the Rfam family "Bacterial small subunit ribosomal RNA", at positions 158 to 481 of the family's 1533-position model. The record is from RNAcentral. Lineage: Bacteria; Bacillati; Bacillota; Bacilli; Caryophanales; Bacillaceae.